Long non-coding RNA from Silurus meridionalis, 756 nucleotides. RefSeq lists it as uncharacterized. NCBI's taxonomy places the organism in Eukaryota, Metazoa, Chordata, Actinopteri, Siluriformes, Siluridae. The record is from RefSeq and is a predicted model, not a curated record. The transcript is spliced from 3 exons.
AUUUCAUAGGAGAUGUGGGGUGAUCUCCACAAUUGUUUGUGUAGCAGCUUCUUGCACUUCAGAGGAUUCUACAGUAUUGAGGACUCCCAAGUAUUCCCCAUUAACACAAACACAGUGAAAAGUGCCACCACUUCUGGACAGAGCGGCCACAGCAGAGACCGGAAAAAAAGAAAAGGAAAAACUGUGCAUCCAAACUUCGUACAGAGGCCUAUUGUUAAACUGUGCUGUUUUCAGUACGGGCAGAAUUAUGAACUAAGCAUUUCAAAGCAAUCCCAUCCAGAUGAGAGUUUCAAACAAGGCCAGGCCUAAAUCUAAAGCAAAUGUCUGAUCCUAAUUGUGUUGUGGUCCUGCCCAGUCGUCUAUGAAUGACAAUAGGCCAGACCAUGGAGCCAGUAAUUAAGCUGUGCAGUAGAAUCCACUCUCCCAGCCCAGGUCUUGCUCCGUCUUAGGCACAGGAUUCCAAGUCCUAAUGACCCUCUUAAUCAUGCAAACACACAUAUGCAAAAAAACAAAAACAACAGCAAAAAAGGAAAACUUUAAUUACCAUGAAUUGUACUUUUUUUUACGUGGCUUUUGUUCUGUGUCAAUUAAAAAAUUCUAAUGUGUUGAUAAUUAUGCGUAUAAAAAAUAAUUGCGAAACAAAUCAUUUUAAUUUCAACUUGGUACACAAUGUUUGCAGUUUAAACAUGGUUUCGUCCCUAAUAUUGUGAACAAUUUGUACAGUGUGUCAUUUUAAUAAAAUAUGAAUGACUGGUA